This 256-nucleotide ribosomal RNA is filed under the name uncultured bacterium. RNAcentral describes it as "partial 16S ribosomal RNA". It matches the Rfam family "Bacterial small subunit ribosomal RNA", at positions 524 to 776 of the family's 1533-position model. The record is from RNAcentral.
UACGUAGGGUGCAAGCGUUGUCCGGAAUUAUUGGGCGUAAAGAGCGUGUAGGCGGCCAGACAGGUCAGCUGUGAAAACUCGAGGCUCAACCUCGAGACGUCGGUUGAAACCGUCUGGCUAGAGUCCGGAAGAGGAGAGUGGAAUUCCCGGUGUAGCGGUGAAAUGCGCAGAUAUCGGGAAGAACACCCGUGGCGAAGGCGGCUCUCUGGGGACGGUACUGACGCUGAGGACGCGAAAAGCAUGGGGAGCGAACGAG